AAGAUCCGUUCACUCUGGUCGAAUAAAUCUUUCGUCUUUUACUAAAGAUUUUCGUGGAGAGGGAUACUCUAGUGAGUCUAAAAAAUACAUAUUAGAUGUAAGGAUAGUUUUAAG
Toxorhynchites rutilus septentrionalis is the source of this 114-nucleotide small nuclear RNA. RefSeq annotates it as U5 spliceosomal RNA. Lineage: Eukaryota; Metazoa; Arthropoda; Insecta; Diptera; Culicidae. The record is from RefSeq and is a predicted model, not a curated record. The transcript has a single exon.